Molecule: ribosomal RNA, 253 nt
Filed under: uncultured bacterium
Lineage: Bacteria
Description: partial 16S ribosomal RNA
Rfam family: Bacterial small subunit ribosomal RNA
Source: RNAcentral
UACGUAGGGUGCGAGCGUUAAUCGGAAUUACUGGGCGUAAAGCGUGCGCAGGCGGACAUGCAAGACAGAUGUGAAAUCCCCGGGCUCAACCUGGGAACUGCAUAUGUGACUGCAUGACUGGAGUACGGCAGAGGGGGAUGGAAUUCCGCGUGUAGCAGUGAAAUGCGUAGAUAUGCGGAGGAACACCGAUGGCGAAGGCAAUCCCCUGGGCCAGUACUGACGCUCAUGCACGAAAGCGUGGGGAGCAAACAGG